AGCUCAGUGGAAGAGCCCCCGCUUCGCGUGCGGGGAAACCCGGGUUCGAUUCCCGG
RNAcentral lists this transfer RNA (56 nucleotides) under Toxocara canis (dog roundworm). It matches the Rfam family "tRNA", at positions 9 to 63 of the family's 71-position model. From Rfam's summary of the family: Transfer RNA (tRNA) molecules are approximately 80 nucleotides in length. Their secondary structure includes four short double-helical elements and three loops (D, anti-codon, and T loops). Further hydrogen bonds mediate the characteristic L-shaped molecular structure. tRNAs have two regions of fundamental functional importance: the anti-codon, which is responsible for specific mRNA codon recognition, and the 3' end, to which the tRNAs corresponding amino acid is attached (by aminoacyl-tRNA synthetases). tRNAs cope with the degeneracy of the genetic code in two manners: having more than one tRNA (with a specific anti-codon) for a particular amino acid; and 'wobble' base-pairing, i.e. permitting non-standard base-pairing at the 3rd anti-codon position. The record is from Rfam by way of RNAcentral. Lineage: Eukaryota; Metazoa; Nematoda; Chromadorea; Rhabditida; Toxocaridae.